UGGCGGACGGGUGAGUAAUGUCUGGGGAAACUGCCUGAUGGAGGGGGAUAACUACUGGAAACGGUAGCUAAUACCGCAUAACGUCGCAAGACCAAAGAGGGGACCUUCGGGCCUCUUGCCAUCGGAUGUGCCCAGAUGGGAUUAGCUAGUAGGUGGGGUAACGGCUCACCUAGGCGACGAUCCCUAGCUGGUCUGAGAGGAUGACCAGCCACACUGGAACUGAGACACGGUCCAG
Molecule: ribosomal RNA, 235 nt
Filed under: uncultured bacterium
Lineage: Bacteria
Description: partial 16S ribosomal RNA
Rfam family: Bacterial small subunit ribosomal RNA
Source: RNAcentral